Molecule: ribosomal RNA, 492 nt
Filed under: uncultured bacterium
Lineage: Bacteria
Description: partial 16S ribosomal RNA
Rfam family: Bacterial small subunit ribosomal RNA
Source: RNAcentral
AGUGAACGCUGGCGGUAGGCCUAACACAUGCAAGUCGAACGGCAGCACAGUAAGAGCUUGCUCUUACGGGUGGCGAGUGGCGGACGGGUGAGGAAUACAUCGGAAUCUACUUUUUCGUGGGGGAUAACGUAGGGAAACUUACGCUAAUACCGCAUACGACCUACGGGUGAAAGCAGGUGAUCUUCGUACCUUGCGCGAUUGAAUGAGCCGCUGUCGGAUUAGCUAGUUGGCGGGGUAAAGGCCCACCAAGGCGACGAUCCGUAGCUGGUCUGAGAGGAUGAUCAGCCACACUGGAACUGAGAAACGGUCCAGACUCCUACGGGAGGCAGCAGUGGGGAAUAUUGGACAAUGGGCGCAAGCCUGAUCCAGCCAUACCGCGUGGGUGAAGAAGGCCUUCGGGUUGUAAAGCCCUUUUGUUGGGAAAGAAAAGCAGCAGGUUAAUACCCCGCUGUUCUGACGGUACCCAAAGAAUAAGCACCGGCUAACUUCGUG